AAAGAAACGUGACGGCAACAGUAAAAUUCUCAGGACCAGAAGCUCCCAGAGACCCACGGGCCUGUGUGUGCUAAAGCUGUGAAGUCAGAUGGAGUAAGAAGCAUGUGUGUGAGCAGACACGUGUGAUGUGUGUGUACCUUUCCCUGUGGCUUCAUUUGCACGUGGUGUUUGGGAUGUCCCACGCAUAGAGUUUCAUCGGACCAUCCUGUAUGGAAACCAAAGCGUGGACACGUGAUUGCAUUACGUCCACUGCUGAGUGAGCAGUGGUGAUGGGCCACACUUUCCUUCCAAACCAAGACUUGCAUCAAACACAGAAAAAAGGCAUGGGCCCAACAAAUUGUGCAACAGGUCCUGGCCAGGAACAAGGUCAGGGUGACUAAGAUGAAUGCUUCCCAAGACAGUCGGUGGCUUUGAAGAACUUCGUCUAUACCCACCGAUGCAUUGACCCAAAGUAGAAAUUAUGAUGACUCUUCCAAAGUGUACACGUAGUGAGUUCCAAUGAGCCAGUUUUAU
Long non-coding RNA from Suricata suricatta (meerkat), 513 nucleotides. RefSeq lists it as uncharacterized. NCBI's taxonomy places the organism in Eukaryota, Metazoa, Chordata, Mammalia, Carnivora, Herpestidae. The transcript has 3 exons. The record is from RefSeq and is a predicted model, not a curated record.